This 239-nucleotide long non-coding RNA is filed under the name Medicago truncatula (barrel medic). RNAcentral describes it as "long non-coding RNA (MTRU_LNC002189)". Lineage: Eukaryota; Viridiplantae; Streptophyta; Magnoliopsida; Fabales; Fabaceae. The record is from RNAcentral.
UAAUUUUAACCUAAACCCUAUUGCAUAAGUUUACUGUUUUAACCCUUAUGCUCACACCUAAUCUCCUAUUUUCAUGAACAACCCUAAUGCUACUCUUUUAACCCUAAUGCUCACACCUAAUCUCCUAUUUUCAUGAACAACCCUAAUGUUCAUACCUAAUCUCCUAUUUCAUGAACAAAACAAAUCGGCAUCGCUUUAUUUCCCUUAUUUAUUCAAAAUAAAUCACCCUAUUUCUUCAA